RNAcentral lists this unclassified non-coding RNA (328 nucleotides) under soil metagenome. RNAcentral's name for it is "partial contains 5.8S ribosomal RNA, internal transcribed spacer 2, and large subunit ribosomal RNA". The stretch from base 1 to 120 matches the Rfam family "5.8S ribosomal RNA", at positions 35 to 154 of the family's 154-position model. The record is from RNAcentral.
GAUGAAGAACGCAGCGAAAUGCGAUAAGUAAUGUGAAUUGCAGAAUUCAGUGAAUCAUCGAAUCUUUGAACGCACAUUGCGCCCCCUGGUAUUCCGGGGGGCAUGCCUGUCCGAGCGUCAUUACAACCCUCAAGCUCAGCUUGGUGUUGGGCCCCGCCGCCCCGGCGGGCCCUAAAGUCAGUGGCGGUGCCGUCCGGCUCCGAGCGUAGUAAUUCUUCUCGCUCUGGAGGUCCGGUCGUGUGCUCGCCAGCAACCCCCAAUUUUUUUUAGGUUGACCUCGGAUCAGGUAGGGAUACCCGCUGAACUUAAGCAUAUCAAAAGCGGAGGA